GCCGCAACACCGCUCCCGCCGGCGGCGCCGUGUAGAGCUCUACUGAGGGCCCCGGUCGCGGCGGCGGCGGCGCAGGCGCGGUGCGGUGCGGUGCGGUGCGGUGCGGUGCGGUGCGGCGCGGCGGGGAGGGCCCCGGCGCUGAGGUAGCACCUCGGGGAGCAUGGAGCUGUCAGCGGCGUGGGGCUCCGCACUGCCCGAGGGCACAGCAUGGGCCGUGGGGGAUGAAGGUGGACGGGUCCUGAGGCACCUGCGAGGUGCAGGCGAAGUUUUCCGGAUCCAGCCAAGAUGAGAAGGCACUUACAAUUCAUUCUUGGGGUCAGCAGACAAAGGAGUAAAGAGUUCUGGUGAUUGGAAUUCAAAGGCAUAAUCACUAAAAAGAUCCUAAGAAAUCCACAUGCUUUUAUGUCACUGGAUCAAGUCAAUCUGUCUGGACUGUCUGCCCAUCUCCAGGACAAGAGGAAGAAAAGGUGUGAUACUACAGGCAGAAAAUCUUGCUCCAUUUGUUCCUCUCACACGCAAGUUGAUAGAAUCACAAAACCCCAUAGAAAUCACCACAUUUCUUCUGAGCACACAGUAAAAAGACCUUAUUAUUUAGACAUUAUAAGGUAGAUGUAUCAGGUUACAGAGGUCAUAGCUUCCCGGCAUACUCUUGUCUUGUGUGGUAGUUCUGCCACUGGAAAAUCUUUCUCCCCUUCUAAAGACAAAGUUCUCCCUCCUCAUCCUGGAUGCAGUCAACCCUGACACCAUAUAUAUAUGGGAACAUGAGAAACAAUCCUGAUAGAUGAAAUAGUUUUAUUUUUAUCUCCCUCACUUGUGACAGAUUAAAUGGAUAAAAACACUUAAGACCACUGACAAUAAAAUAGUGGGCAGAGACAAUCAAGAUUGGCAGCUGGACAUAAUUUCUACAACCAAACGAAAGAGAAACUGUGUCAUCUGCAACAUGGAUUCUGAACCUGGCUAACUAUUUUCAUUGUAACUUCAGUUGGGGAUGCACUGCUUUGCAUGUCCCAUCUGUCUACCAACCACAUACAUGUGGUAAUACAUAACCGAAGUUAGACCCUUGCCAUGUCCUAUGGAGGUUGCAACCUCAAAUCCAGUAUCUGCUAUAAGAAUGAGUUAAAAAGAUUACUGGGGCGGGAGAGGAGGGAGGAGGAAAGGGGGCUGGGGAGGUAUGAUACUGGGAAGAAAACAAGGCUAAGACAGGUUUCAUGGAGUGGAGCAGAUCCUGGUUUGAAACCUAUCUAAGCUCUUGACACUAGAUGUCGUUGCCACCACGUCUCCCAGGGGGACAGCCGGCUCCUGGUGCAGGGCUGCUUCAGAGCUUUGCUGGCAGAGGCGUGUCAUUUGCAAUAUUGAGGAAUAUAAACCUUUUGCUCUUGUUGCUGUAAAUUCAACUGCCUUUUUCUUCAGCCUGUUUUUAGUACUAUCAGACAUAGACUGAUGCCUGCACAGAGAUGGCCAGUCAGGAAGAGACACUAUGGAGAAGCCUCGAUUCCUUGGGAAAGUCCCCAACACCCAGGAGGGAUGUCACAUGCCUACAAUUCUGCACCUGAGUUAUGUCUGUGUAUAUAAGGAUAUACAUCGAUAGAUAUCACUGUCUGUGCAUGCACAUUGCUGGCAUGAAGGCUUGUUCCAGUUUCACAGGCGCUGUUGGUGGGGAGGCAUGUGGCAGCAUCCUCUUCAGUGCCUUGCAUUUUUCUGUGAGGGUGAUGAAGGAUUUUCUUCAAUCAAAUCAGCAUU
This is a long non-coding RNA of Strigops habroptila (Kakapo), 1740 nucleotides long. RefSeq lists it as uncharacterized. The transcript is spliced from 3 exons. The record is from RefSeq and is a predicted model, not a curated record. Lineage: Eukaryota; Metazoa; Chordata; Aves; Psittaciformes; Psittacidae.